Molecule: long non-coding RNA, 393 nt
Organism: Poecile atricapillus (Black-capped chickadee)
Lineage: Eukaryota; Metazoa; Chordata; Aves; Passeriformes; Paridae
Exons: 3
Source: RefSeq, a predicted model, not a curated record
AGCACCUGUUAAAAGGUUUGGGCUUCUGGGAUGUUCUUGACAUCAACCUGCAAAAUGGCCACAGCUUGGAGGGACACCUGACCUUUUGCCACUAGCUGGGGAACUUCUUAUCAUUUAAAUAAUUAAAACAGCAGCCAUUCUUCUUCAACUCCUGUCAGCCUGAAAGCCAUUCGUGUUAAACCAGUGCAGCACCAACGGGGAGCUUUAGCUAAGACACUGCUGACAGCACUGAAAAUAGUGGAAGUCCUGUAACCACCAUCACACCCUCUGUCACCUGCAAGAAAUGAAAAAUUUAAGAAGGCUUUUCCAUUUAAACAGAUGCUCAUGAAUGUCAUUGCUGCACCUUUGUGAUUUUAAAUUAGAGGUUGUAAACAGUCACAGAAUAAAGUUGCA